GAUUAACGCUAGCGGCAGGCAUAAUACAUGCAAGUUGAACGGCAGCACAGGUAGCAAUACUGGGUGGCGAGUGGCGCACGGGUGCGUAACACGUAUGCAACCUACCCUAUACAGGCGAAUAACCUUUAGAAAUGAGGGCUAAUACGCCGUAGUAUUACAGAUGGGCAUCUAUUUGUAAUUAAAGAUUUAUCGGUAUAGGAUGGGCAUGCGUCCCAUUAGUUAGUUGGUAAGGUAACGGCUUACCAAGACGAUGAUGGGUAGGGGAUCUGGGAGGACUUACCCCCACACUGGUACUGAGACACGGACCAGACUCCUACGGGAGGCAGCAGUAAGGAAUAUUGAGCAAUGGCCGCGAGGCUGACCCAGCCAUGCCGCGUGCAGGAAGACGGCCUUAUGGGUGGUAAACUGCUUUUAUACGGGAAUAAUAGAGUGUACGCGUACAUUUAUGCAAGUAUCGUAUGAAUAAGCAUCGGCUAACUCCGUG
Molecule: ribosomal RNA, 484 nt
Filed under: uncultured bacterium
Lineage: Bacteria
Description: partial 16S ribosomal RNA
Rfam family: Bacterial small subunit ribosomal RNA
Source: RNAcentral